Long non-coding RNA from Tachysurus fulvidraco (yellow catfish), 1264 nucleotides. RefSeq lists it as uncharacterized. The transcript is spliced from 3 exons. The record is from RefSeq and is a predicted model, not a curated record. Lineage: Eukaryota; Metazoa; Chordata; Actinopteri; Siluriformes; Bagridae.
CUCCGCUCCAGGAGCUCCAGGUCUCUCCAUUCUGAUCCAGAUCCACACCAGACUUUACAACUAAUCUAAAUUCUACCACUUGUUUUCUUUUCUUUCAAUCAGUUCAGUAUGUCAGAAACUCCCAGCAAAGGCCACUGGAGGAUUCAAGAGUAAGAAGUUCACUGUAUUCUGUGUAACACAGUUUCCUGUACAUAUGAUGACAAAACUGACUCUUGGACAGACAAAGAGCUCCAAAGUCCUUUUACCUAGGCACCGUAGAUCUCGGAGGUCUGCCAAGCCUGAGGGUACACAGGAAACAGACUGAUGAUUGGAGGUAGACAGAGAGAAUGCCACCUAACCUGUCCUGUUUUUCCAAACGCUACCAUCAUCGACGUGUCUAAGGCCCAGCUAACUCCAAUUUACUUCACAGCAACGAAGCCUUGGGCUAGAUUACUGUCACUAAAAUGGAGUAAACCUAGCAUAUAAACUGCUGCUGUACGUUCACAGGGGUAUGAAAAUACAUACCCCAGAUGGUGACAGGUGACUAGAGGAUCUAAACCUUUUUAAUUUCCCCGCACUACUGCUUCGUCUUCCUACGGUUUCCUUUUUCUAUGACUUUUUUCUGAUAAAGAAGUAAAGAAAACAGCAAUUAUAAAAUUCCUUUACUACAGAGUUCUUGCCCGCCCGGUCUGUCAGCUUAAGUUCCAGAAAGCUGACAAUAAAAGACCACAAGCUCAACCUAAAAUGACAACGAGAGCAUUUCAAUCCAUCCCAGCCUUUCUUUAUCUCCUAGUCUGCGCUGUCAUUCCAGCAUAAAUGGCAGCCGUCAUCCACCGAGACCCUCCCUGUGCCAAAAUGGCCGACGCCACCCUGUCAGCCUGUGUGUGUGAUUACUGCUCCGAAACUGUCACUCACCCGCGUUUGCACUUCUUGAAGAUUUUCCCGAUGGUGUCUUCUUGCAGACCGUACUUUUCUGAAAUCUGAGCAUGAGAAAGGAGAAACAAGAUGCGUGUCAUUUCGAGGAUCUUGUAGCAUGUACAGUGAGAUCUUCAGAUGUAUGAGAAAAGGAUAGAAGGAAGAGAAGAAGAACAGGAAGAAAGAGAAAGAAAAGAGAAGGAACGGCUGAUGAGUAAGCAGGACGUACCGCUUGUCUGAGUCCUCUCAGGGUGGGCGAGUUCAACAUGAGGGCAUCGAACACUUCUUCUGAUUCUUGCCGUACGUACAGGAGGACUAUAACACCAAUAAUAAACAAAUAAAUAAAUAAAUUGAUGUAUUGUUGUGGAUA